GCGCCGGUGGUCUAGUGGUAUGACAAGGGCCUUCCAAGCCCUCGACCCGGGUUCAAUUCCCGGCCGGCGCA
Molecule: transfer RNA, 71 nt
Filed under: Halococcoides cellulosivorans
Lineage: Archaea; Methanobacteriati; Methanobacteriota; Halobacteria; Halobacteriales; Haloarculaceae
Also listed under: 1 other name
Rfam family: tRNA
About the family: Transfer RNA (tRNA) molecules are approximately 80 nucleotides in length. Their secondary structure includes four short double-helical elements and three loops (D, anti-codon, and T loops).
Source: Rfam by way of RNAcentral